RNAcentral lists this long non-coding RNA (3550 nucleotides) under Homo sapiens (human). Its description in RNAcentral is "HSALNT0047938". Lineage: Eukaryota; Metazoa; Chordata; Mammalia; Primates; Hominidae. The record is from RNAcentral.
CUGAUCUCAUCCCUCACACCCUGCCUGCCUGGAAGAAGGGAGCAGUGUCCUGCAUGCUCUUCCAUGCUUUGCCAGCCAGAGCUCCCCCAAAAGCAGCUUUCCUGUGAUACCUCCUGGGGCACAAAGUGUCUGAUCCCACCAAGGUGAGGGUUAGCAUUUUGCUAAGCUGAAUUUUCAUACUCAGACAAGGUGGGAACGGAAUGAAGCUCAUUCGUUUUACUUUAGGAAGAGUUAAAAGCUCAUGAAGGAUGAACCUCAUUCUGGACAAGAAGCCCCCAAGGCCCUGCACAGGCACCCAAGGCUGGCCUUUGUCUGGGCAGGGAAGAUGGUGCUUUUACUGCUGACCAGCGCUAUACUUGAAGCUCCCUGUGGCAGGCAGAAUUCUAAGAAUCACCCCCAAAGACCCUUCUUUGUAUUGCCCCCUUCCCUAUGAGUGUGGGUGGAUCCUGGGAGUAAUGAUGAGAUCCCACUCCAUAACUGUUUCAUUAUAAGGUGAAGAAAGAUUGUCUAGCAGGCCUGAUGGAUCACAUAAGCCCUCUAAAAGCAGAGCUGUCUUCAGCUAGUCACAGAAGAGGAUGUCAGCGAUUGGAAGCACAAAUAGGAUUUGAUGAACAAUUGCUGGCUUGAAGAUGAAGGCCCCAUGGCAAGUAAUGGGAGCAGCUUCUAGAAGCUGAGAGCAGCCCCUACCUCACAGCCAGCAAGGAAAUGGUGACCUUGGUUCUACAACCCCAAGGAACUGAAUCUGGCCAACAACUUGAGUGAACUUUGAAGCAAUUCUUUUUCAGAUCCUCCCAAUAAAAGCCGUGCCUGGCCAGUACUUUGAUUGCAACUUGGCAAAAUCCUGAGCAGAGAAUCUAGUCAAGCCUGCCCUGACUUCUGACAUCUUGGAUUGUGAGAUAAGAGAUGGCACUACCAAAAAAAAAAAAAUCCUCAACAAAAUGUUAGCAAACUGAAUCCAGCAGCACAUCAAAAAACUAAUCCACCAUGAUCAAGUAGGCUUUAUUCCUAGGAUGCAAGGUUGAUUCAACAUACACAAAUCAAUAAAUGUGAUUCAUCGCAUAAACAAAACUAAAAACAAAAGCCAUAUGAUUAUCUCAAUAAAUGCAGAAAAUACUUUCAAUAAAAUCCAACAUAACUUUAUGUUAAAAAAACCCUCAACAAAUGAAGCAUUGAAGGAACAUACUUCAAAAUAAUAAAAGCCACCUAUGACAAACCCACAGCCGACAUCAUAUGGAGUGGGCAAAAGCAUUCCUCCUAAAAACUGGAACAAGACAAGGAUGCCCUCUUUCACCAUGCCUAUUUGACAUAGUAUUGGAAGUCAUAGCAAGAGGAAUCAGGCAAGAGAAAAAAAUAAAGGAUAUCCAAACAGGAAAAGAGGAAGUCAAACUAUCCCUGUUUGCAGAGAAUAUAAUUCUAUAUCUAGAAAACUCCAUACAGUCUUUGCCCAAAAUCCCCUUGAUCUGAUAAAGAACUUCAGCAAACUUUCAAGAUACAAAAUAAAUGUACAAAAUUCAGUAGCAUUUCUCUAUACCAAUAACGUGCAAGCUCAGAGCCAAAUCAAGAAUGCAAUCCCAUUAACAAUAGCCACAGUAAGAAUAAAAUAUCUAGGAAUACAGCUAGCCAUGGAGGUGAAAGAUCUCUACAUUGAGAAUUACAAAACACUGCUCAAAGAUACCAGAGAUGACACAAACAAAUGGAAAACAUUCCAUGCUCUUGAAUGGAAAGAAUCAAUACUGUUAAAAUGGCCAUACUGCCCAAUGAACUUUACAGAUUCAAUGCUAUCCAUAUCAAACUACUAAUGCCAUUAUUCACAGAGCAUUCUAAAAUUCUUAUGGAACCAAAAAGGAGUCUGAAAAGCCAAGGCAAUUGUAAGCAAAAAGAACAAAGUUGGAGACAUCACAUUAUCCAGUUUCAAACUGUACUACAAUGUUACAGUAACUAAAACAGCAUGAUAUUGGUACAAAAACAGACACAUAGACCAGUGGAAUAGAAUAGAGAGCCCAGAAGUAAUUCUGCACACCUACAACCAUUUGAUCUUCAACAAAGUUGACAAAAACAAGCAAUGGGGAAGAGACUCCCUAUUCAAUAAAUGGUGCUGAGAUAACUGGCUAGCCAUAUGCAGAAGAUUGAAACUGGACCCCAUCCUUACAGUAUAUACAAAAGUCAACUCGAGAUAGAUCAAAAACUUAAAUGUAAAACCUAAAACUAUAAAAACCCUGGAAGAUAAUCUCUGAAAUACCAUUCUAGACUUAGGACCUGGCGAAGAUUUCAUGACAAAGUUGCCAAAAGUAAUCGCAACAAAAACAAAAAUUGACAAAUGGGAUCUAAUUAAACUAAAGAGCUUCUGCACAGCAAAAGAGACUAAGAGUAAACAGACAACCUAUAGAACGGGAGAAAAUAUUUGCAAACUAUGUAUCCAACAAAGGUCUAAUAUCUAGAAUCUAUAAGAAACUUAAAGACAUUAACAAACAAAAAACAAACAACCCCCCCAAAAAAGUGGGCAAAAACAUGAACAGACACUUUUUAAAUCCAUGCAGCCAACAAGCAUAUGAAAAAAUACUCAACAUCAGUAAUCAUUAGAGAAAUGCAAAUCCAAACCACAGUGAGAUACUAUCUCACACCAGUCAGAAUGACUAUUAUUAAAAACACAAAAAAUAACAGAUGCUGGUGGGGUUGCAGAGAAAAGGGAACACUUAUACGCUGUUGGUGGGAAUGUAAAUUAGUCCAGCCAUCGUGGAAAGCAGUUUGGCAAUUUCACAAAUAACUUAAACAGAAUUACCAUUUGACCCAGCAAUCCCAUUUAUAUACCCAAAGGAAUAUAAAUUGUUCUAUCAUAAAGACAUGUAUGUUUGUCACAGCACUGUUCACAAUAGCAAAGACAUGGAAUCAACCUAAAUGCUCAUCGACGGUAGACUAGAUAAAGAAAAUGUGGUACAUAUAUACACCAUGAAUUGUUACUCAGAGCUCAUUUCUUUUGCAGCAACAUGGAUGAAGUAAUUAUGCUAAGUGAACUAACAUAGCAUCAGAAAACCAAAUACUGCAUGUUCUCACUUAUCAGUGGGAGCUAAGCAAUGAGUACAUGUGGACACAAAGAAGGGAACAAUAGACACUAGGGCCUACUUGAGAGUGGAAGGUGGGAGGAGGAUGAGGGCUGAAAAGCUAUCUGUUAGGUACUAUGCUUAUUUCCUAGGUGAUGAAAUAAUCUGUACACCAUGACAUGCAAUUUACCUAUGCAACAAACCUGAACAUGUACCCUGGAACCUAAAAUAAAAUAUUAAAGAAAGAAAAGAGAGAUGAUAUUGUUUUAAGUUGCUAAGUAUGUGGUUAUUUGUUAUGCAGCAAUAGCAAAUGCGUCUACCCCGUUGCCUGAAAUUCCCUCCCAUGUAUCAUUUCUUGAAGGAUGUAUUAGUUUCUUAUUGCUGCUGUAACACAUUACCACAACUGCAUGCCUCACACAACACAAACUUGCUAUCUUACAGUUCUGGAGGCCAGGAAUCCAUACCAGGUCACACUGCACUAAAAUCAAAGCGUCAGUGGGGCUGAAUUCCUU